Molecule: non-coding RNA, 9781 nt
Organism: Musa acuminata subsp. malaccensis (wild Malaysian banana)
Lineage: Eukaryota; Viridiplantae; Streptophyta; Magnoliopsida; Zingiberales; Musaceae
Source: RefSeq, a predicted model, not a curated record
GCGCACCAGAGAGGAUGCGUCGGGAACCUUCUCUCACCUUUCCUGGAGAAAUCCGCGGGCAACUGCGUGUUUCCCACGGCGUGUUUCCAACUUGCCGUUCUUAUACAGCACCGACCGACCUUCCACGGGCAACUGCGUGUAUCCCACGGCAUGUUUCCAACUUGCCGUUCUUAUGCAGCAACGACCGACCCUUCCCACCGAUUCGUUCUUGUCGGCCACAACUAAGAAGGAAUUCCAUCUCAGCCGUUGCUUCUUUCCUUUACACUCUGAUCUGGAUCGUUGGCUGCCUCGCUUGAAAUCUAUAAGUGACGGGACUCCCUGCCCUUCCUUGCCACCGUUGUUUUGGUUUCUGGUAUGCGUCGUUCCGUGUCUCCUUAGCCACCCGUUGAUCGUCGAUGGCGGUGCACCCAAUUCCUCAGCCGUCCGUUUUUCGUUGAUUUCGUUUUCGAAUUGGAUGAUCUGUUCUCGAUAGGUGGUGCAUCCAAAGCCUUUUAAUCGUGUGAUUUCGGAUUCGGGCACUUGAAAUUGGUAUUGAGCGAAUCGGAAGAUCUGAUUUUGAUGGAUGGUAGAUCAAAAGCCUUUCAAAUCUUGUGGUUUACGUUAUUGAGCAGUUGAAAUUGGUCUUGAACGAAUUGGGUAAUCUAUUUUCGAUCGAUGAUGGAUCGGAAAAUUUUGAUAUAUGUCGUUUUAUUUUUCGAGCACUUCAAACACGAAAUUGGAUGAUCUAUUUUCCUAAGAAAUACGGAAGGUUGAGAGGGGACUUCACAAGUUGCAGGAUUUUUUAUGCUCCUAGUUUUUUGAAAGAUUAAAUUAUCCUAACUCGCUAGUACGAUGAUCCCAAAUUAUCGAUCUCUCCUUUGUGGCAGAUUUUAUAUAUAUCAUCGACGCGGCUGGUGGUUGGUGAGGCUGUGGUGUUUAUAUGGUUUUUAUCUGUAUGGAGCCCACACUGAGCCUGUGAUGAAGAUUGUUAAGGAUCCUCUGGUUUCCGUUGAAUGAUAAAAAUAGGUUUUCGAUUAGAUAGUGGUUUAUUUAAGGGGUUUCUUUGCUGUGACACACACCGCUUAUUAUCAUGGAUGCAGGUCUUCAGAAAUGCUCUGAACAAUGGAUGUGUCCGGUUUGUGCUGGUUUAGUCGGCCCUCGUUACUUUCAACUAUCAUUUGUUGUACUUAUGUGCACAAGUCAGUUAUUUUGAUACGGUUCUCAUCAAAAUAUGGUUGUUUGUUUUAUUUGUUGUGCAAGGGAAAGCUGAUGGACAUCUAGUUUUGCAUGGGCAUGUGACAGUAUCUUUUUGAAAGAGAGAUGUGAUUGUUUUGCUCUCUUUUGGUAUUUGGUUUUAAUGGAAGAGGUUCCAUUAACUUCUCAUUUUUUCAGCAUUGGCAGUUUAAUUUGUUGAUUAUUUUCCCUGUCUACUACUUCCGUUGGCAUGCUUGGUACAUUUUAUAAAUUUGCACUUUUGAUGUGAGUCUUUCUCUAUGUUUUCUGAAUGUUAAAUUUGCACAUUUUAUAAAUUUGCACUUUUUAUAAAUUUGCAAAUUUAUAAAUUUGCACUUUUUGUUUGCAGUUGCAGAAGGAUCAGCAUUAGCCAUAAGUCUGGUAAAUAGACAUGGUUACUGACCUUUCUUGGAUUGUAUUUGGUAUGAGAAGUGGGUUUACAUUUUUGGUAAGGUUAGUUUAGAUUUAGGAGUCCAAAUUAUUCCCAAAAAUUCGAGAUUUUAUGUUUUUAUCCAAAUGUUAAUUGUUCUUGUUGUCAUGAAUUUUCAGCAGUUACUUGCUGGACUAGUCUUAUUAGAAGAUCAUUUGAACUUCUCAUUUGUCUCUUCUGGGAUUCUUUGUCAGAUAUCUACUUUGCAGCUUAGAUGUCUUUUUGUUUUAACCUGCUUCUGGUCAGGUCAUGAGGUAUUUGGUUCCAGUUAUCUUGUAGAUGUUUUUUGAGUAUGAUGAUGAAUCAUAGGAAAUACGGAAGAUCGAGAGUUUAGGAAUUACGGCAGCUUCUAUUGGUUCUAGUUGAUUCCGAUUAUUAUUUUAAUUACUUGAGGUUUUCCGUUGCCAGAGGACUGCACAGUAUUUAUGGUUUAUAUGCUUCUAGUGCUUUGAAAGAUUGAUUGUUAUAACUCAUGAAUACCUUGAUCCAGAAUUCUCGAGCUCUCUUUUGUGGCAGAUUCUAUAUGCAGUUGGUGAGGCUGUGUUGUGUAUGUGGUUAUUAUCUGUAUGGAGCCCACACAGACCCUAUGAUGCAGUUUGUUCAGGAUGCUCUGGUUUCCUUUGAAUGAUUAAAAUAGGUUUUCCGUUAGAUUCUGUUAUAUUUUAGGGGGUUCUUUGCUGUGAAAUACACUGCUUAUUAUCAUGGAUGCAGGUCUUCUGAAAUGCUCUGAACCAGAGUCUGAACAAUGAAUAUGUCCAGUUUGUGCUGGUUUAGUUGGCCGUCAUUACUUUCAACUAUUAUUUGUUGCACUUGUCUGCACAAGUUGGUCAUUUGAUACGGUUCUCAUCAAAAUAUGGUUGUUUGUUUUUAUUUGUUGUGUGCAAGGGAAAGGAGAUGGACAUCUAUUUUUGCAUGGACAUGUGAGUAGUUUUUUGAAAGAGAGAUGUGUGUGUUUUGCUACUUUCCUAUGGUAUUUGGUUUUAAAUAUGCUCUAACCCUUUGAUCAACUUUGCUGUGCCUGUUGUAUAUCUCUAGUUGGAUGUAGACGGGUCUCAAGUAAGAAGUUCCAUUAACUUCUCAUUUUUUCUGCACUGGCUGUUUAAUUGUUGUUUAUUUUCCCUGUCUGCCACUUCUGUUGGCAUGCUUGUGACAUUUUAUAAAUUUGCACUUUUGAAGUUAUUCGUUCUCUUUGUUUUCUUAAUGUUCUAUUACUAGUGUUUUUGUGUGCAGUUGCAGAAGCAUCAGCAUUAGCCAUAAGUCUGGUAAUUAGACAUGGGUACUGUCCUUUUUUGGAUUGUAAUUGGUAUGAAACAUAGGUUUUACCUUUUUGAUAUGGCUAGUUUAGAUCUAUGAGUGCAAAUUAUUCACGAUUUUUUGGGAUAUUAUGUUUUUGUCCAAAUGUUAAGUAUUCCUAUUGUUGUUAAUUUUCAGCAGCUACUUGCAUGGCAAGUAUUAUUUGAAGGUCAUAUGAAUUUCUGAUUUGUCUCUUCUUAGAUUCUUUGUCAGAAUUGUAAUUUGCAGCUUAAUUGUCUUUUUUUUUUAACCUGUCUUGAGGUAUUUAGUUUCAGUUAUCUUGUAUAUGUUUUUUUAAUAUGACACUAAAUAAUAAGAAUUACAGAAGAUUGAGAGGUUAGGAGUUCCGACAGCUUCUAUUGGUUAUAGUUGAUUUCAAUUAUUAUUUUAAUUGCUUUAGGUUUUUCCUUGCAUUCUCUCAAAGGACUUCACAAUUUGCAGGAUUUAGGGUUUUUAUGAUCCUAGUGCUUAGAAAGAUUAGAUUGUCAUAACUCGCGAGUACUGUGAUCCAAAAUUCUCGAGUCUCUUUUGUGGUAGAUUCUAAAUGUAUCACUGAUGUGGUUGGUGAUGCUGUGGUGUUUAUGUGGUUAUUAUCUGUGUGGUGCGCACACAGACCCAAAGGUGCAGUUUGUUAAGGAUGCUUUGCUUUCCGUUGAAUUAUUAAAAUAGGUUUUCCAUUAGAUAGUGUUAUCUUUAAGGGGUUUCUUUGCUGUGACAUACAUUGCUUAUUAUCUGGUUUGAACAAUGGGUCCUCGUUACUUUCAACUAUUAUUUGUUGCACUUAUGUGCACAUGUUGGUGUUUUGAUAUGGUUCUCAUCAAAAUAUGGAUUGUUUUUAUUUGUUGUGUGCAAGGGAAAGGAGAUGGACAUCUAGUUUUGCAUGGGCAUGUGACAAUAGAUUUUUGAAAGAGAGAUGUGAAUGUUUUGCUACCUUCCUAUGGCAUUUGGUUUUCAGUAUGCUCUAACCCUAUCAUCAACAUUGCUGUGUCUGUUGUUUAUCUCUUGUUGGAUGUAGAAGUUUCUCAAGGAAGAGGUUCCAUUAACUGGCUGUUUAAUCGUUGAUUAUUUUCCCUAUCCUACUACUUUCGUCAGCUUACUUGUUGCAGAAGCAUCAGCAUUUCCCAUAAUUUUGGUAUUUAGACAUGGUAACUGACCUUUCUUGGAUUGUAUUUGGUAUGAAACAAUAGAUUUUUCCUUUUUGACAAGGCUAGAUUAGAUUUGGGUGUGCAAAUUAUGCACGAAUUUUUGAGAUAUUAUUUUUUUGUCCAAUUGUUAAUUAUUCUUGUUGUUGUGAAUUUUCAGCAGUUACUUGCUGGACAAGUCUUUUUAGAAGAUCAUUUGAAUGUCUCAUUCAUCUCUUCUGGGAUUCUCUCAGAUUUCUACUUUGGUUAGGAGUUAUGACAGCGUCUAUUGGUUGAAGUUAAUUCUGAUUAUUAUGUUAAGCACUUGAGGCGUUUCCUUAUGUUCUCUCAGAGGACUUCACAAUUUGCAGCAUUAAUAUUUUUUAUGCUUCUAGUGCUUUGAAAGAUUUGAUUGUCAUAACUCACGAGUACUGUGAUCCGAAAUUCUCAAUCUCUUGUGGCAGAUUCUAUGUAUAUUAUCAAUGUGGUUGGUGAGGCUGUGUUGUUUAUGUGGUUAUUAUCUGUUUGGAGACCACACGAAGCCCAUGAUGCAGUUUGUCAAGCAUCCUCUGGUUUCUGUUGAAUGAUUAAAAUAGGUUUUCCAUUAGAUGGUGUUAUAUUUAAGGGGUUUCUUUGCUGUAACAUGCUGCUUAUUAUCAUGGAUGCAGGUCUUCCGAAAUGCUCUGAACAAUGGAUGCAUCUGUUUUGUGCUGGUUUAGUUGGCCCUCACUACUUUCAACUAUUAUUUGUUGCACUUAAUGUGCACAAGUUGGUCAUUUGAUACAGUUACUCAUCAAAAUAUGUUUGUUUGUUUUUAUUUUUGUCAAAAGGAAAGCAUAUGGGCAUCUAGUUUUGCAUGGGCACGUGAGUGUUUUGCUUUGGUCCAAUGGUAUUUGGUUUUAAACAUUAUCUAACCGUCAUCAGCAUUGCUGCAUCUGUUGGAUAUCUCUACUACUCAAGUCAGCAAGCUUGGUACAUUUUAUAAAUUUGCGCUUUUGAAGUUAGUCUUUUUCUAUGUUUUCUGUAUGUUCUAUUCAUAGUGUUUUUGUGUGGUGUUCCAGAAGCAUCAGCAUUAGCCAUAUGUCUGGUGAUUAGACAUGGAUACUGACCUUUCUUGGGUUGUAUUUGGUAUUAGAUAUAGGUUUUACAUUUUUGAUAAGGCUAGUUUAGAUUUAGGAGUGCGAAUUAUGAGUGAACUAGAUAUUUUUUUUCGUCCAAAUGUUAAUUAUUCUUGUUGUGAUGAAUUUUCAGCAGUUCCUUGGUUGGCAAGUCUUAUUAGAAGCAAGCUUCGCGAUUUCGAAUCAUACCGCCUGUAUCGGACAGUAUGUACCGGGCGAUACGCGGACUGCUCGCUACUGAGCGGUCCACUCGAUAUAGUCCCGUAUUAGACGAUACAGGACUGUUUCGGGCGGUAACGGUUGAAAUUUCGAUCAUUACCGUCUACUAUUGGGCGGUAUUAACCUAGCUAUGGCGAAGUUGAGGGAGAAGCAUCGAAGAAGGAAGAAGGAGAGGGCGUUCAAAGAAGAGGGAGAAGAAGAGAAAACCAUUUCCAUAUUGGGUUAAUUGCAUCCAUUGGUAUUCAUGUUUGGUUGUAGAGGUUGUCCGCCGAUUUUGUUGAAUUUUCUUGAAUUCCAUAGAGCCAUGGUUUCCAAUGGCCUGAUGGCUGUUCAUUUAUUGCCAAAAUGCAGUCCAACCAUUCCACGGAAUUACAUUUGGAUGGACAUUAUUUUCACUUUGACUUUGUGAACCUUUGGCUCUUAAAAGUACUCUUUUGGGUUUUUACUACAAUAACAACAACUAUAAAAUCGUAAGUCCUGAUUAUUUGGGCUCGGCUACUUGGAUCUUUUGCCAUCAUUGAAAUAUGUAAAAAGUUAUAUGUUUAGUUAAGUUUAAAGUAUUUAAAUCUUUAUUUAUAAUUUUUAUUAAAGUCUUUUUAGGUCUUUCUCUACCUCUUCUCAUACUACUAACAUAUUAAUUAUUUUAUGUUUUUUAACUACCACUCUUUUGGGUUUCUCUUCUUAAUUAACUUCUGUUUCUCUUUUGAAUCAUGUUUCCUUAUAUCUUGUUUGGAAGUUAGGACAUGGUAAUGAUGGCUCAUACAGGUACUUAAUUGCCAUAAAUGAGUUUUGGAUGGUGGUCUUGGGUUAUGAUAAUUGUCCUUGAUUGUUAUAUGGAUUUGUGAAGCAAUUCUAUACCUGCAAGUGAUGGCUUUGAAUAAAAGUGUUUUAAGAUGCAUUGUUUCUCUUUCCAUGUAUCAGUUUGGAGGUACAAACAUGCCAUGUUCUCUUGAUUUUUUUCCUUGAAACUCAUUCCAUAUUGCUGAUCUUUAGUAGAAUUGUUAUCUUCGUGGGCUGAAGUACCAUUUUGUUGGUCAUUAUAUUUGUUGUUAGUCUACUUGAAGCUUGUUUUGGGAGCUACCUAUCACAUUUUUCUAAUAGUUCUGUUAUUUUUCUAGACAUGGAGGUUUUGGAAUAUCAUGUUAUUAACUAAAGCAUGGAGCCUUCACAUUGUAAACAAAGGAGUCUAACUUUUGUCAAGGUAUCUUCUUGUAGAGACCCAAUUGCAGAUCGAAUAUUUCAUUGAUGAAGAUUCUUACAACCAUAUUUGAUACAAACAAGAUUUCAAGAUUAUUGUUUUGGUUAGCAUGAAGAAUAGAAGUUCUAUCUGCACUCAUAGUCAAAUAUUUUGCUACAGCUUCUUCUUGUUCUUCUGGAGGGAGAUGUCUUUUGAAAGGGGGUCAAAAAAAUCUCAAAUUGUUUGCAUGUUGUUUUCGAUUGUAUAGACAAAUAUGUUAAGUUCUAACGCAAUCAACGUUAGGUCUUUGAGUUUAUUUUUUUUAGUAUGGAUCAAAAUGUUAUAGAUGAACUUUGUGAUGUUAUAAUGAUGGUUACUGUGUUUCUUUGAGCUAUAGAAUUUUGUUGCCAAUUAGCCAUGUGUUUAUGUAAUUUGAUAUUAUCCUUGGUGGGAAUGACUUGUCAGAGAUUAGAUGAACUUUGAAAGAUGGAUCAGUUAUGACUUGCAGCUCCACUUUUUCACUUCUAUCAUGUGAUGUGCCAGCUUUUGUUGUAGUGAACUAGUGAUCAUAUUUUUUAGUUACUGGUCAUCUGGCAUACAUUGGUUUGGAUAUUUUCUUCUAAUGGGUUUUGGCUUGUCAUUGAGAAGUUCUUCUGGCAUGCUUUCUUUUGUGAGGGUAGAUCGAAAAUUUUGCUUACCCUUCCUUUGGAUCUUCAUUUUGGUUGCAAUAUCCAGACAAUGGUAAGAGCUUUUGCUGGAUCCUGUGUUUGAUGCAAGAUGGGCUUAUCCUGGCUUUGAUAAGAACUGUGGUUGCAAUAUAAGUUACAAUUUCUUUGCUUUUCUCAGGCAUAUUUUCUUCAAGUUUGAUAUGCAGUUUUUUUGUUGAACAUAUAUGUUGCAUUUGAAAUUUGUUUUGGGAAAACAAGAAUUGAGCAGCUCGGCAUCAUAUAGAUAAUAUUUUUGAGGGAAAGGAGUAUCUAUUUUCUUGGAUCAACCGAAGAAACAGUUUGGGUUGGUUCUUUUAUUCUGGUAUUCUGAAAUUAGUGAAUGAGUUCUAUGAUGAAGCAAAGAUGCACAAUACCAGGAAUCAAGAUUGCAGAACCAUAUCUUCAUUGUAUGAUGGUCAAUCUUUUCUUCAUUGGAUUGCAGACAUGAAAAGGGAUAUUUCCUGUAUUUAUCCACUUUUAACGGAGGACAUAGAAUGAUUCACCUUUGUUAGUUUCCUGCAAUAUGACCAUGUAGUUGGAAUAUCUACAGGAAGCCUGUACUGUUUAUAUGUGUUGGGAGUAUCAAAACAAUGGGUGUUUUAUGCACUACAAGGCCUCUUGCCUUUCCCUUUAUUUGCAUUGGCCUUCAGAUGUUGAUGUGUUAUGUGAUUAUAUGUGAAUUUUUGGGUGUCUUACACAAAAAAUGAUGGGUAUCCCAUGUCAUGCAUUGUCUUUUCAUUUCUUCAUAUUGGCAAGACAUGAGAGUGUCUUGGUUGUAGCAUUUGGUAAUGUGUAUUUAUGCUAGAUUUAUUUUCAACUACCUAGAUUAGCAAGCACUUUAUAUGUUAUAUUUAUGUCUCUGUUCUUGUCUAGUGAAUUCAUCAUGGAAAUUUUAUAUUGCUUUCUUACAUCUUUGGGUUUAGAUUCUUUUGUAUUCUCAAUAUUUGCCAUGUACUUUAUAUGUGAUACUUAUGCCACUUUUGAUUGGUUUUCAUCCCCUUUUCUGAAUCAUCAUCCAUUCCAUGCUAAAGAGUCACAAACUUUGUUUUAAUGUUGUAUGGUGAUGUCAUUUUAUUCCCUUCGUAUGUAUAAUCUUGAAUUUUUGUCCAUUCCAACCAAAGAAUUGAAUCUCAAGUAUCAGAUCUAUACUAGUUCAGGUCGAAGAAUUGAAUAUCGAGUAUCAGACCUAUACUGGUUUAGCGCAUACUGGUAUGGGUCUAAACCAUACUGGCAUCUUAUUGUAACAAAUUUAAAAAAAAUAUAAAAAUAAAAAUAAAGUUUAAUUUCUAUUUUUAUUGAUGAUGAACAAUUGGUCAUUCAUUGUUUCGCUAUAGCUAACUGUGGUUAUAUUGAUUUUCAUGUAGUUGUGUUUAAUUUCCCAGGGUUACGACUGAAUUCUUGAAUUGUGAUUUUAGUAUUAGUAAGGAGUUGAGGAUGCAGGAUGGAUGGAAUGAACGGAUCUAUCAUUUUAGGACAGCAAAAGUUGAAUGGGUAGAGCACUACAACGAGUGUUCUGAUAAUUAAGCCAUGUUUUAUGGAUCAAAAGUAUUUAAUGGUUAGAGAUAAUAGAUUACUUAAUUAUUGUAGGUCUUUUUUGUGAAUGAGAUGAUAGUAUAAUAGAUUAUACUAAGCUAAGGAUAUUCCAGUGCCAGUAAGAAUAGCAUGCUUAUUUUGUGUACACAAUUGAAUUUCUUUUCUAAUGGGGGUUGUAGUUGGGUACUUCUGUUCUGCUUGUGUAUAGAAGCAGGGUGAAUCAAUGCCAAUCUGAACUACCUGUUCAAGUGUGUAGCCCCUUUUUUUUUCUCAUGCAUAAGUCCAUUGAUAUUUUCUAUGAUUUCAAAGAUGAUUAGUUUAUUGCAUAUCAGUACAGAUAUAGUAAAAUUAGUGAUACAUAUGUUAGUGAAACAAUGAUAUAUCUUCACCUUUUGAAACUUCUUAUUUAAUGUUUCACUUUGUGGAGUCUUAAGCAUUCUAAUCUUAUGAUUUAAUUAAUUCUUACUGAAAUUGAUGUUUUCAUUGCCUACUGAAAUACAAUUUUCUAUGCGAACUUCUUAUGUAAUGUCUGUGUGCUUCGAGUCAAUAGUGCAAAUUCUAUUUUCUAUUUGAACUUCUUAUGUAAUGUCUGUGUGUUUCGAGUCAAUAGGGCAAAUUCUUUAAGCAUUCUAAUUUAUGUUUGUAUUACUAAUGUGCUUAUUGGUAUAAAAUUUCUCUAUCAUAUCAUUUGUUUGUCACUAGAGGUAGUGAUGUGGAGAUGUGAUGGAUAAUACAAGAAGCUAGAAACUUACAUCUACUUAGUGUUCAAUUUCAUGGAGGAUAUUACCAAAUAUUUUCUACUAGUGUUUUAACUGAGCAGCAAAACCAAAUAUUUAUGUAUUGACUAAGCAAAAGAUCUUUAAGAGCAAUCAACAUGAUUUUGCUUCAUGUAUUGGUCAUACAAUUUGCUGUAAUCUCUACUUGCCUCUCUGUUGGAAUAAAAUGAUGCCACCUUUGAUGGGUUUUGUCCU